GGGACCUCUGCCAGCCCCUACAAUGGCCAUGGAAAGGCUGUCAGCAUGAGGACGUUUAUCAAAGAAAUGAAUUGUGAAUGAAAUCCUGCAAGAAAAACCCUCCAGCACAGGGGAGACUGUUCAAAACCAGUUUGUAAAAGUCAUUGCCUUCAUCAAGUUAAUUAGCUGCAUAAGUGCAGGCUCAACGUGGCAACACAACCCAAGGGUUGAUGGGUUGGUGCCAUCCAGCUGUGUCUGUCCUGCUCCCUCCAGCUGGCAGCACUGAGCCGAGCCCUGCAGAGCAGCCAGGAGGGGAUGUGGGAGCCAAGAGCUGGAGCUCAGGGCAUGCAGAGCAAUGGGGAUGGGGCCAGGGGUGGAAGGGCUGCGCUGAAUGCUGUGAGAAGAUGAGGAGGAAAACGCUGGAUCUCAGGGAAGAGAAGCAGGAGCUGAAGGAGGUGAAUGGAUGUCAGGAGAACUGUCACCUGAAGGAGCUGGCAGCCCCAGCAGCCCUGAAGGAGCCACUGACCACAGUGAGAGCCCUGCGGGUGGCAGGAGGUCCUGCCCCACAUCCAACACUGCCUGCAGGAGCUGCAAGUAGAGGACCUUGGUGUGCUGGGAGCAGAGCUGGGCACCACAGCAAGUAUAGAGGGGUUCCUGAUGCCACCUCUUGA
RNAcentral lists this long non-coding RNA (650 nucleotides) under Coturnix japonica (Japanese quail). RNAcentral describes it as "lncRNA (ENSCJPG00005014833.1)". The record is from RNAcentral. Lineage: Eukaryota; Metazoa; Chordata; Aves; Galliformes; Phasianidae.